UUAAGCUGUGUUGCAUCAUAAUGACAUAGCAUAACCUCCUGCUCGUUAAAGUCAAGCCUACUGAAGGAGAUCUGAAUUCAGUUGAAAUCAGCAGCCUAGUUCAAACAUGGACAGCAACUGAAGUCUGCCACAGAAAGUCCUCACAUGUAACUUUAAGCUAGUGUUCCUUGACCUGUUGCCCUCCAGAUGAAUUCAAAUACUUCAGCACAUGGAAUUUCCAGGUAAUAUGGCUCAGAACACUCGGAACUUUAGUCUAACACCUCUGAAGAACACCAGGAGCCAAGAUGAAAACUAAAUUGCUACACUUUCAGACUGGCCCUAGAUGGAAUUCUGAAAGAAAAAAAAAUGAUUGAAAGCUUCUUAUAGAUGUUCCUACCCGAAGCAAUGUGCAAAAAAUUCAGGCAAGAACUGUGACUUGGAAACUAUCUGAAACUUGUCUUAUGAUAAUGGGAGAGUUUUCCUUUUAUGAAAUUUGAAUUUAACCUAUAUGCCAAUGAAGAUGGAACAUAUUAGAAAACAGGAAAGAAAUACCAGACUGGGAGUAAGGGCAGAAAUGGAAAUAUCCUAUAGGAAGAAUGCAGAAGCUCAGAGUUUGUGAAAGGCCAUGAAACAUUCAAAUUUAGUUCAAGUUUAAGGUUAUUUAUGAAAUCUUCCCCCACUUUUUCAUGAAGGGGCCCAAGACACCUAUGAACCAUUUCUUCCCUUUUAAUCUGGCUGGCCUACUUGAGAGGGGCUCUUCAAGUUCCUUUGGUUAAUGAGGUGAAGGGAGUUGGGGCUAGAAGAACUCUCUGGUAGUGCCCUGACUUUCUGGAAUGGUUCGCUCCACAGUCCAGCUUACCCUGACUUUAAGCCCCCUUUGGAAAGGAGGUAAUAUGUGUUUUUCCAACUGGAAACUAGCAUCUAUACUUCUUAUCAAAUGGGCAGGGAACUUUUAUGAGCUAUAAUGAUGGUGGCUUUUUUAGAUUUUGCUUUAUUAAGUGCCUAGAUAUGUGAAGUUAUGAGCACAUAGAAACUCUGCAAAUAUGUAAACAAACAAGCAAACAAGAAAAUAAAUAAAUAAAUAAAUUAGGUUUCCUGGACCUAAGAAACGUUUAAUUAAA
This is a long non-coding RNA of Crotalus tigris (Tiger rattlesnake), 1100 nucleotides long. RefSeq lists it as uncharacterized. The transcript has 4 exons. Lineage: Eukaryota; Metazoa; Chordata; Lepidosauria; Squamata; Viperidae. The record is from RefSeq and is a predicted model, not a curated record.